AGACUUGCAAGGCGCCCAACUUCCACCCAUCUCCGAUCCUUGCUGGAGAAUGGGUCUGUGUCUCGGAGAGUGGGCAGCCCAAGAUGGACAAGGAGAGAAGUUUGUGAUCAGUUUGGCUAAGCUGGGCGUGGGGAGGGAAGGGGGAAAGAACCACCCCGAAAUCUCCAUCCACCGCCCCCUCAGCCAGCCGUCCCCUCUAAGCACGCCGUCCACAAAUUAACAAGCCGUUGUUUCCGCAGCUUCAUCAGUUCUUUAUUCCCCAGCCACAGCACCACCACUGUCCGCCAAAAAAGAAAGAAAAGAAAUCCGAAUUGCAAUCCCUCGCCUUUCUACUUAGAAAUGCUGGAGCUGCGCUGACCGCUCUCCCUCCCUUCCUCGCAGUGAAACGCUCUGCGUUUCCGCUCUCCCUCCAUUCCUCGCAGGGAGGCCCGAAUGCUCGCCGCCUUCUCCCUCUCUCGGCCCGGCCGGGGUCGCCUCGCGGCGCCGGGACCCGAAGGCCAGGCUCGCGGGCCCCUCCCAGCGACAGCCGGAGCCCGGCCCGCUAUCUCCACCACAUCUCACAGGCUGAGCCCACCCGCGCGUCUGCUCAGCUCUCCGCGGGGACCUCUCCUCUCCUCACCUCGUCCGCUCUGGGGCGCCGACUUGUCCCCCGCCGCCUCGAAUCUUCCGAGUCGCUGCAGGGGAGUCUCCGAAUUCCUAGCAGAAAUUGGGAUGGAAGGCCGGGAAGUAGGAGGUGUUUGCUCAACUUCUGAGGACGUCACGCCUCUGCCUCCCGUAGCCAAUCAGCAGCCGCCCUGCGGGAACAACCUUCUCCUCUGCCAAUCGGCGGCGCUGCCAGUUGCUACGUCAAGCCCGGCCCCUGCUCCUCCCCAAGAUCCUUCUGUCUCUGAUCUCUGACCUGCGUUCUUAGCUGGGACGUCGAGUUCUCCCAGGAUAAUUAUCGACCAGUUUUCAUGACAACCAGCAUGGUGAGCCUACAGCAUUUCAGAGGCAGAAAAAGAGUGCAUAGACAUGAAAAAGAGGGGCCAUAUUGAUAAGAAAAAUAGUACAGAGGUAAAAUCUAUAGUACUUUGAAGAUUCCUGAAAAACAGGGGAGAGAGAAAUGUUAUAAUUGAAAAUGACUGAGAAGAUGGUGAUUAAAUACAGUAGGUAGUGUUGAAGAGUUGUAUUAGAUAAAUUGAAUUCAGUGUUCCUGCAAGAUAUCUAAGUGACCACACACAGGAGGAACUGGCAAAUUCAAAACUAGAGUUUUUAGAAAAGUUAAGGCUACAGGUAAGGAUUUGGUAUUUGUCUGCAUAGAUGACCCAAACCAAAAAAGCUAGUGAAGAUACUGAGAGAGCACGAAGGAGAAAUGAAGAGAGUUAAGGACAUCGCCUUGUAAAAGCCUACAUGGGAGGGAAAGAUGAGACCAAGAAGGAAAGAGAAGGCACACCUGGAGAGUGCAACACAAUGGACUUCAAGAGAAGAAGAUGCUUCAAGGAUCUGCCAUGUAAGACGUGCCUUUCAGCUUCCACCAUGAUUGUGAGGUCUCUCCAGCCACAUGUAACUGAAGGAGUAGCCAUUAUUCAUGCCAUUGUCAAAACCUCAUGGCAACAAAACUUCCAGGACUGGAAUUGCAAAGAUGAUUACAAAGGGGAGCUCCACAAUCAGGUGUUCCAAGAUAAUGAAUACUUCCAUAGCAACAAAAGUCUGACAAUAAACGGUUACCUUGAUUUUCACAUUUUCAAAGAAAAAUCCCUCAAUGGCAACUAGAUCAGAAGUCUCAACACUGAAUAUGCAAUAAUGGCUACAAGGUGAACAGUUUUUCUAUUCCAUUUUCUUAGCAACAUCAUUGAUUGAUUUUCUUGGAAAGGAAGUUAGAUUGGAUUAGAUGAUCUUUUUGUUUCAGUCAUGUAGCUUGUUAUUAGCAAUUAAUAUAUGCAGUAGCUUUUGAAACAACACAAGUAAUAAGUGACUUCAGUAGAAAUUCAUUAUAUUCUAACACAAAUGAUUUAUAAAUGCAAUUUUAUUUUAAAAUUUCUAUCCUUUCUGUCUCCCUGAUUAUAAUUGUCAAAGUAUUCUGAUAGUAGAAAGUGUGUAUGACUGAAAAAAUGGUAUAAAAUAUUUCGGAUAUAGUAUAUACUCUAUAGGUUGAAUUCAAAAGACUGCUGUCACUGUACAUUUUUUCCCUAACAAAUCAUCUUUUUUCUAUGCAUAACCUAUGGUGAGGCAACGUUCUUUACAUUGUGUUAAACAAGAAAAUACUUUGUAAUGAAUUAAAGUUAAGGAAAGACUACAUCUAUCAGCCACAAGGAACUUGAGUUCUGGCAAUUUUGAGGGUUUAAGGCUCACAGUUUUAGCAGCUAUGUCUGCAUAAGGACUUGAUUGGAUCAAAAUAAAGAACACAAAGAUGAACAAGGGGCUCCCUGAAAAUUCAGAGCUUCAAUGAGUUCAGCACAAGUCCUAAAAGGACAUCUCCCUAAACAUUGACAUUAAACGUUUUUGCACUGGCUUGACUGGGUAUAACUUUAAAAUGAAAUACUAAGUGAAAUACCUGUAUAAUGAAAACUAUAAAACACUGACAAGAGAAAUUGAAGGGGACACC
Pan troglodytes (chimpanzee) is the source of this 2584-nucleotide RNA transcript. RefSeq lists it as uncharacterized. The transcript is spliced from 5 exons. The record is from RefSeq and is a predicted model, not a curated record. Lineage: Eukaryota; Metazoa; Chordata; Mammalia; Primates; Hominidae.